GGAGGAUUGCUACACCCCUAGACUUUGAUUCUGUGUAAUUUCCUCAGUAUCCCUUCGUGUAGUGUCUGGAUCUAAGAGAUGGGGCUGAAUCUUUUCGGAAAAGUGUCUCCUGUAUAAAGACUACCUCAGCCUUACGUUUGUGGUAAUCUGUGAGAGCUAAGUGUCUUUUUUCCGGGGGUGUUUAAUCCCCUGGCGUUGUGGGAUAAAACGGAUAUGGCUGCCAUUGCCAAGUGGAGUGUGGUG
Molecule: non-coding RNA, 243 nt
Organism: Pelobates cultripes (western spadefoot toad)
Lineage: Eukaryota; Metazoa; Chordata; Amphibia; Anura; Pelobatidae
Source: the annotation of a GenBank genome assembly